Molecule: ribosomal RNA, 200 nt
Filed under: uncultured bacterium
Lineage: Bacteria
Description: partial 16S ribosomal RNA
Rfam family: Bacterial small subunit ribosomal RNA
Source: RNAcentral
AGAGUUUGAUCCUGGCUCAGAAUCAACGCUGGCGGCGUGCCUAACACAUGCAAGUCGAACGCGCUCAGCAAUGAGCGAGUGGCGGACGGGUGAGGAACACGUGGGUGAUCUACCUUGAGGUGAGGAAUACCGGCGAGAAAUCGCCGACAAUACCGCAUGAGCUCGGAAGAGCAAAGUCGCAAGACGCCUUGAGAUGAGCC